Long non-coding RNA from Nasonia vitripennis (jewel wasp), 1709 nucleotides. RefSeq lists it as uncharacterized. Lineage: Eukaryota; Metazoa; Arthropoda; Insecta; Hymenoptera; Pteromalidae. The record is from RefSeq and is a predicted model, not a curated record. The transcript is spliced from 5 exons.
ACCUCUCGAUCGAUUGAUGUUUCCUCUCUCUGCCUUGCUCAUUUCUACGCGAGGCGCAGCCUUGACUUUAGGUUUUUGUAAAAGUGUCUAUAGGGAUGUUCCAUCUCGGGGGUAAGUAUGGCAACUCCGAGAAAUCGCCGCAAGCGCGUCGAAUUCAGCAGGAAGGCUUGCAUCAAACCAUAACUACUGCUCGUUAUCCAAUAGAUAUUUGUUGCCUUAAAAUUGCAUGUAAGCAGCAAUAGGCACUAAUGCUACACUGAUGAAACGGAAAAGGUUCAUUCUCCAUCUAUCAAAUUUUGUUGGCUCUCCAACCCUGAACAUGUUGUGUGUCUGUAAUUUUAAUCAUUACAACUUACUUCCAGUACGGCCAAAUUUAGCAGUCCUAAUGUAACAGGUAGAAUCAAAAAAUGAUCAACAUCUGUAAGAUUUUUCACCCAUCCAAAGCCACCAACCACCAUUUCCAUGAGAAAAAAAUUAUAAUGGAUACUUACUAACAUCUGGGUGAGGUAACAUGUACGAUAGAUUUCUAGUGGCAAUUGAAAAAGAAAACCAAAGAGGUAGUUGAAUCAGCACAAGUAUAUAGGAUUUUGCAGGAUGGCAGUUCUCCCUCUGGACUAAAUCAGACCAUUCCUUUUUGACCUAGUGAAUUUAUGGCAAAAAUUAUUACUUAAAUGAUUUAUUCAUAAAUUAUACAUAUAAGCAAUCAUAUUUACUGCUAAUGUGUAAUGUUGUCUUGCAAGCUUCUCUGGCCAACCAUGAUACGAAACAUUAAUAUUGGCUUCAUUUUUCAAGAGCUUUAUGGAUUGCUCCAACUCUGGCUGAAUCGAUUGUAAUUUUCCUGUAUUAUGCAUCUGGAACAUUCAUGAAAUUAAAGUCAAGUUAUGAAACAAAAAUAUACUUUGUUGUUAAAAUUAAUAAAAAAAUAUAUGAAUCUUCAAAAAGUUGUUUAGAGUACCUGAAUUAGAGAAAAAGGCAACGUGAUAACAGCUCUAGCCAUUAAAGCUGACAGAGUAAUCGAUGCCCACCACGGCAACCCAGUAAAGUCAUGCAUGUUCAAAAGCGUAUUCUGAGCCAGAUGCACUAUCUUCCAAUCCGCAACACUUUUUGCAAAUUCUGGUAAAGCAGAGCCUGCAAUUUUUGCAGCCUCUUCAGCAGGUAUCAGUUCUUUACUUGCAGUCACAGCAGUAUUGAACAUUUUCUCAAAAUCUUUUAUCUCGCUUGCAAAAUUUCUUUGAAAACUCAAAUGAAUCGGCGACGAUCCAAAGAGUAAAUUUUUCUGCGAAAGAUGUUGUGAAAGAGGAAAAUGACAGUGAUUGCGAUUUUCAUUUUUCUUGCGAAAAUUCACUGUGUGAUAAGCACUACUACUUUUGUUGAUAUCAUAUUGCGGAGAUAAAAUUUGCCGGCAAUGAUGGCGAAGAGUUUUUGUUAUAACUCUGUUUGUGACUCCGGAAUUCAUCUUCGACUUUUCUUAUAAUAAUUGAUCUUCAUAUACUUGUAAAUAUUUUUCACACUGCGACUAUAGUUACAUCGCUUGAUCGAGGUUAUGCAGAAGCAACAAGCCAAUACGAAUACUAGCUUAUAAGUAUGCCAUGCAGCGUGCUAUGUUGGAGAAUCGAGCACACAGCUCAUUGUGGAUCCAAGCAAGUCUUUUUCUCCAAACGGCCUUAACAGUCCCAGAAUCUGCGUGGUCAAUCUGAAUGGUACGAGCU